This 1740-nucleotide ribosomal RNA is filed under the name Planctomycetes bacterium HGW-Planctomycetes-2. RNAcentral's name for it is "bacterial SSU rRNA". It matches the Rfam family "Bacterial small subunit ribosomal RNA". Lineage: Bacteria; Pseudomonadati; Planctomycetota. The record is from RNAcentral.
AACUUGAAGAGUUUGAUCCUGGCUCAGAACGAACGCUGGCGGCGUGGCUAAGACAUGCAAGUCGAACGGAUUAUGCUUAACCGUAUAAUUAGUGGCGAAAGGGUGAGGAAUAGACAGGUAACGUACCUGGAGCACUGGAAUAGCGUCUCCCGCACCUACUUUAUUCAGUUUCGAGAUUUUUGGGAUUAUUUGAAUAUAAUUCCGCGUCUAUUUUUGGAUGUAUCUUUGUGGACUGGGUAAAGUAGGUGCGGGAUACCGAAAGGGGCGGUAAUUCCGGAUAAUGUUAUUGAUCGCAUGGUUGAUAACCAAAUGAUUUAUUGGCUUCAGAGCGGCCUAUCUCCUAUCAGCUUGUUGGUGAGGUAAUGGCUCACCAAGGCUUUGACGGGUACCGGGACUGAGAGGUUGGCCCGGCACAUCGGAACUGAGACACUGUCCGGACCUCCACGGAGGGCUGCAGUAACGAAUAUUGGGCAAUGGGCGAAAGCCUGACCCAGCGACGCCGCGUGUAGGAUGAAGUCCCUCGGGAUGUAAACUACUGUCAGGGGUAUGAAAGCCCCGUACCUAUUGUAUUGUUCGUAAUAUAAGACAUUGUCGAUAAGAUUUGAAUAAAUCAAAUCGAUAAGGCAUUUACGAUAAGACAGAACAAUAGGUGCGGGGUUGAUCUAACCCAAAGGAAGUCACGGCUAACUCUGUGCCAGCAGCCGCGGUAAUACAGAGGUGGCAAGCGUUGUUCGGAAUCAUUGGGCUUAAAGCGUGUGUAGGCGGACCAGAAAGUGUCUUGUGAAAUCCCUCGUCUUAACCGAGGAAUAGCUCGGCAAACUACUGGUCUUGAGUCAAGUAAGGGUGCCUGGAACUCUUGGUGGAGCGGUGAAAUGCGUAGAUAUCAAGAGGAACGCCAGUGGUGAAGACGGGGCACUGGGCUUGUACUGACGCUGAGACACGAAAGCGUGGGGAGUGAACGGGAUUAGAUACCCCGGUAAUCCACGCUGUAAACGAUGCCUACUUGGUGUUGGAAACUCUGACGUUUUCAAGACCGUAGCAAAAGUGUUAAGUAGGCCGCCUGGGGAGUACGGUCGCAAGGCUAAAACUCAAAGGAAUUGACGGGGGCUCACACAAGCGGUGGAGCAUGUGGUUCAAUUCGAAGCAACGCGCAGAACCUUACCUGGGUUUGACAUGGUUGGAUGCCUUUCUGGAAACAGAGUAGGUUGCCCGCAAGGGUGAAACUUUCACAGGUGCUGCAUGGCUGUCGUCAGCUCGUGUCGUGAGAUGUCGGGUUAAGUCCUAUAACGAGCGAAACCCCUGCAGUUAGUUACCAUUCCCGCAAGGGAGGGACUCUAACUGGACCGCCGGUGUUAAACCGGAGGAAGGCGGGGAUGACGUCAAGUCCUCAUGGCCUUUAUGCCCAGGGCCACACACGUGCUACAAUGGCAACUACAAAGCGUCGCAAUGCCGUAAGGUGGAGCAAAUCGCAGAAAAGUUGUCUCAGUCCGGAUUGAGGGCUGCAAUUCGCCCUCAUGAAGUUGGAAUCGCUAGUAAUCGUGAAUCAGCUACGUCACGGUGAAUGUGUUCCUGAGCCUUGUACACACCGCCCGUCAAGUGAUGGGAGCUGGAAAUACCCAAAAUCAGUUUGCGAACCCGCAAGGGGCGCGACUGCCUACGGUAGGUUCGGUGACUGGCACUAAGUCGUAACAAGGUAGCCGUAGGGGAACCUGCGGCUGGAUCACCUCCUUUCUAAAGGAA